This 860-nucleotide long non-coding RNA is filed under the name Salmo trutta (river trout). RNAcentral describes it as "lncRNA (ENSSTUG00000019136.1)". The record is from RNAcentral. Lineage: Eukaryota; Metazoa; Chordata; Actinopteri; Salmoniformes; Salmonidae.
AAAGCAACUUUUUUCUCUCUUUUUUUCUCUGUGUGUGUGUGUCUGUGUGUGUGUGUGUGUGUAGGGCCUGUUCAUCUUCCUGAUAUAUGGGGUGUACAACACAGAGGUUCGGAGCACAGUUAAAAGGAUCAAGGAGAGAAGAAAAGCGCUACGUUUUUCAAACUGUGCCAGCUCCAGACCCUCCAGCUCAUUAACCAGCUCCCGGCCCGCCAGCUCCCCCACGCCUUCCCCCCAGGGCCCCCAAGGUCCCAGCCUGGACGAAGGGGGGGACAAGACCUGCUCCGGCCAGCCCAGCCCACUCCCCAACCCCACCUACCCCCACACCCUAGGCCUUGUGGAGGAGAACGCCAACAGAGGUGAGCCACAAGCUCCCUCACCCACAGUUCCGAUGACAAUACUACCUACAGGGGUGAAUCGAUGACUACCUCCCUCAGUGCUCUCUGACCCUCAUCCUGAAUGCUCCUUUUCUGAAUUUCACUCAGAAAAGGAGAUCUCAGGCUGUAUAUUGCGUACCAUGGUCUGAGAGCUGAAUGAAAGGGGAGAAAAGACGGCUGAAAGAAUAUACUCAAGCUUUUCACAAAAAAAAAACCUAAAUCUUUCAAAAAAUAUUUAGACACUCAUUCUUCACUUCAAAAACAUAUUACCCUGUGUGGGAGUGUGGCCAAGUGUAGUUUGUAGUCCUACAGACUCCCAUGGACAUAUUGCCCACAGUGGCAUGGGUACGCAUCUCACCCCAGUCUGUACUUUCUUGCUGUCUUCCCCUCUACAACCUGUACCCUGCCUACCUUCCAACUGUUUAAGUAAAUUACGAAAAGGAGGACAGAGUUCUUGUCCUCCUUUUUGUAAAUUUAAUAAAAAAU